GGAUCGGGCAGCAAGGACACCAAUAGGGGUAGUCAUGUGGCUGAGAUAUGCGAUGGGGCUCAAGAAUGCCACGGAUUGCAAUUGGCUCACCAACUUCCCUUCCGAUAAUGAGGCUAGUACUAUUAGUGUUCCCUGUCCUCCUCGUAAACACACAAACCCUCUCAGACUUUACAUUAUCUUUCAACUAAAUUUGCGUAAAUGAAUAAUCUACUUUAUAUAUACUUCAAUGUGACUCACUAGGGAAUGACCAACGUAGUGGAUCUUCUGAGAAGUUUGUUGAGAAACAUGGUCGAAAACGGCCGGAAGAUCAUAGAGUACCAGCUCGUCCCAAGACCAAUUCCAGAAAGCUUGAUCGGUCGGGUUCAGCGUGGUAUGUCGGCG
This 381-nucleotide long non-coding RNA is filed under the name Cucumis sativus (cucumber). Its description in RNAcentral is "long non-coding RNA (CSAT_LNC001141)". Lineage: Eukaryota; Viridiplantae; Streptophyta; Magnoliopsida; Cucurbitales; Cucurbitaceae. The record is from RNAcentral.